GAUGAACGCUGGCGGCGUGCCUAAUACAUGCAAGUCGAGCGAACGGACGAGAAGCUUGCUUCUCUGAUGUUAGCGGCGGACGGGUGAGUAACACGUGGAUAACCUACCUAUAAGACUGGGAUAACUUCGGGAAACCGGAGCUAAUACCGGAUAAUAUUUUGAACCUCAUGGCUCAAAAGUGAAAGACGGUCUUGCUGUCACUUAUAGAUGGAUCCGCGCUGCAUUCGCUAGUUGGUAAGGUAACGGCUUACCAAGGCAACGAUGCAUAGCCGACCUGAGCGGGUGAUCGGCCACACUGGAACUGAGACACCGUCCAGACUCCUACGGGAGGCAGCAGUAGGGAAUCUUCCGCAAAGGGCGAAAGCCUUACGGAGCAACGCCGCGUGAGUGAUGAAGGUCUUCGGAUCGUAAAACUCUGUUAUUAGGGAGGAACAUAUGUGUAAGUAACUGUGCACAUCUUGACGGUACCUAAUCAGAAAGCCACGGCUAACUACGUG
This 497-nucleotide ribosomal RNA is filed under the name uncultured bacterium. RNAcentral's name for it is "partial 16S ribosomal RNA". It matches the Rfam family "Bacterial small subunit ribosomal RNA", at positions 28 to 507 of the family's 1533-position model. The record is from RNAcentral.